This 247-nucleotide ribosomal RNA is filed under the name uncultured bacterium. RNAcentral describes it as "partial 16S ribosomal RNA". It matches the Rfam family "Bacterial small subunit ribosomal RNA", at positions 261 to 521 of the family's 1533-position model. The record is from RNAcentral.
CGCGAUGUUCAGGCGACGACGGGUAGCCGGCCUGAGAGGGUGACCGGCCACACUGGGACUGAGACACGGCCCAGACUCCUACGGGAGGCAGCAGUGGGGAAUAUUGCACAAUGGGCGAAAGCCUGAUGCAGCGACGCCGCGUGAGGGAUGACGGCCUUCGGGUUGUAAACCUCUUUCAGCAGGGACGAAGCGAAAGUGACGGUACCUGCAGAAGAAGCACCGGCUAACUACGUGCAGCAGCCGCGGG